Scomber scombrus (Atlantic mackerel) is the source of this 174-nucleotide long non-coding RNA. RefSeq lists it as uncharacterized. The transcript is spliced from 3 exons. The record is from RefSeq and is a predicted model, not a curated record. Lineage: Eukaryota; Metazoa; Chordata; Actinopteri; Scombriformes; Scombridae.
AUAUCAGAACCUGCAGCUGCGAGACAGAAAAGGAAAUCAGAGUCUCCUGUGAAGAGUAAAGCUGAGGCCUCUGCAGCCAAGAAAGAACCAGAACCUGAAGCCCGUCCACAGGCCAGCAGACUGAGGUCGAAGCUGGAAUCCGUGAAGAGGGCGAACGUGACCUUAGCGGCCAAA